GGUGGUUAUAGCAGCGAGGCAACACCUGUUCCCAUUCCGAACACAGUAGUUAAGCUCGUCUGCGCCGAUGGUACUGCAUGGGCAACUGUGUGGGAGAGUAGGUCGUCGCCAUCG
RNAcentral lists this ribosomal RNA (114 nucleotides) under Candidatus Cloacimonadota bacterium. RNAcentral also lists the same sequence under 1 other name. Lineage: Bacteria; Pseudomonadati; Candidatus Cloacimonadota. The record is from RNAcentral.